UGCAAGUCCGAGCGAACAGAUAAGGAGCUUGCUCCUUUUGACGUUAGCGCCGGACGGGUGAGUAACACGUGGAUAACCUACCUAUAAGACUGGGAUAACUUCGGGAAACCGGAGCUAAUACCGGAUAAGAUUUUGAACCGCAUGGUUCAAUAGUGAAAGACGGCCUUGCUGUCACUUAUAGAUGGAUCCGCGCCGUAUUAGCUAGUUGGUAAGGUAACGGCUUACCAAGGCAACGAUACGUAGCCGACCUGAGAGGGUGAUCGGCCACACUGGAACUGAGACACGGUCCAGACUCCUACGGGAGGCAGCAGUAGGGAAUCUUCCGCAAUGGGCGAAAGCCUGACGGAGCAACGCCGCGUGAGUGAUGAAGGUCUUCGGAUCGUAAAACUCUGUUAUCAGGGAAGAACAAACGUGUAAGUAACUGUGCACGUCUUGACGGUACCUGAUCAGAAAGCCACGCCUAACUACGUGCCAGCUGCCGCGUUAAUACGUAGGUGGCAAGCGUUAUCCGGAAUUAUUGGGCGUAAAGCGCGCG
RNAcentral lists this ribosomal RNA (535 nucleotides) under Staphylococcus sp. RNAcentral describes it as "bacterial SSU rRNA". It matches the Rfam family "Bacterial small subunit ribosomal RNA", at positions 56 to 571 of the family's 1533-position model. Lineage: Bacteria; Bacillati; Bacillota; Bacilli; Caryophanales; Staphylococcaceae. The record is from RNAcentral.